RNAcentral lists this non-coding RNA (24 nucleotides) under Drosophila melanogaster (fruit fly). Lineage: Eukaryota; Metazoa; Arthropoda; Insecta; Diptera; Drosophilidae. The record is from RNAcentral.
UAAGUAAUGCAGCGAAUAAUUUUA